UAAUUGAAGAGUUUGAUCAUGGCUCAGAUUGAACGCUGGCGGCAGGCCUAACACAUGCAAGUCGAGCGGAAACGAGAAGGUGCUUGCACCUUCGGCGUCGAGCGGCGGACGGGUGAGUAAUGGCUGGGUACCUGCCCUGAUGUGGGGGAUAACAGUUGGAAACGACUGCUAAUACCGCAUAACGUCUACGGACCAAAGAGGGGGAUCUUCGGACCUCUCGCGUCAGGAUGGGCCCAGUUGGGAUUAGCUUGUUGGUGAGGUAAUGGCUCACCAAGGCAACGAUCCCUAGCUGGUUUGAGAGGAUGAUCAGCCACACUGGAACUGAGACACGGUCCAGACUCCUACGGGAGGCAGCAGUGGGGAAUAUUGCACAAUGGGGGAAACCCUGAUGCAGCCAUGCCGCGUGUGUGAAGAAGGCCUUCGGGUUGUAAAGCACUUUCAGCUGUGAGGAAGG
RNAcentral lists this non-coding RNA (454 nucleotides) under Veronia pacifica. Its description in RNAcentral is "Enterovibrio sp. sw014 Bacterial small subunit ribosomal RNA". It matches the Rfam family "Bacterial small subunit ribosomal RNA", at positions 1 to 451 of the family's 1533-position model. The record is from Rfam by way of RNAcentral. Lineage: Bacteria; Pseudomonadati; Pseudomonadota; Gammaproteobacteria; Vibrionales; Vibrionaceae.